Molecule: ribosomal RNA, 663 nt
Filed under: uncultured bacterium
Lineage: Bacteria
Description: bacterial SSU rRNA
Rfam family: Bacterial small subunit ribosomal RNA
Source: RNAcentral
AGAGUUUGAUCCUGGCUCAGAGCGAACGCUGGCGGCAGGCCUAACACAUGCAAGUCGAACGGACCCUUCGGGGUUAGUGGCGGACGGGUGAGUAACACGUGGGAACGUGCCUUUAGGUUCGGAAUAGCUCCUGGAAACGGGUGGUAAUGCCGAAUGUGCCCUUCGGGGGAAAGAUUUAUCGCCUUUAGAGCGGCCCGCGUCUGAUUAGCUAGUUGGUGAGGUAAUGGCUCACCAAGGCGACGAUCAGUAGCUGGUCUGAGAGGAUGACCAGCCACAUUGGGACUGAGACACGGCCCAAACUCCUACGGGAGGCAGCAGUGGGGAAUCUUGCGCAAUGGGCGAAAGCCUGACGCAGCCAUGCCGCGUGAAUGAUGAAGGUCUUAGGAUUGUAAAAUUCUUUCACCGGGGACGAUAAUGACGGUACCCGGAGAAGAAGCCCCGGCUAACUUCGUGCCAGCAGCCGCGGUAAUACGAAGGGGGCUAGCGUUGCUCGGAAUUACUGGGCGUAAAGGGCGCGUAGGCGGACAUUUAAGUCAGGGGUGAAAUCCCAGAGCUCAACUCUGGAACUGCCUUUGAUACUGGGUGUCUUGAGUGUGAGAGAGGUAUGUGGAACUCCGAGUGUAGAGGUGAAAUUCGUAGAUAUUCGGAAGAACACCAGUGGCG